RNAcentral lists this ribosomal RNA (560 nucleotides) under uncultured Terriglobales bacterium. RNAcentral describes it as "bacterial SSU rRNA". It matches the Rfam family "Bacterial small subunit ribosomal RNA", at positions 8 to 572 of the family's 1533-position model. The record is from RNAcentral. Lineage: Bacteria; Pseudomonadati; Acidobacteriota; Terriglobia; Terriglobales.
AGAGUUUGAUCCUGGCUCAGAACGAACGCUGGCGGCGUGCUUAACACAUGCAAGUCGAGUGCGCGCCUGUAGCAAUACAGGUGGCGCACGGCGCACGGGUGCGUAACACGUGGGUAAUCUGCCCUCUGAUGGGGAAUAACUCGCCGAAAGGCGAGCUAAUUCCGCAUAAUAUUCCGAGAACCUCGGUUUUUGGACUGAAAGGCGUAAGUCGUCGGAGGAGGAGCCCGCGCACGAUUAGCUAGUUGGUAGGGUAAUGGCCUACCAAGGCUUUGAUCGUUAGCUGGUCUGAGAGGAUGGCCAGCCACACUGGAACUGAGACACGGUCCAGACUCCUACGGGAGGCAGCAGUGGGGAAUCUUGCACAAUGGGCGAAAGCCUGAUGCAGCGACGCCGCGUGGGGGAUGAAGCUUCUCGGAGUGUAAACCCCUUUCGAUCCGGACGAAUGCCCGCAAGGGAUUGACGGUACGGAUAUAAGAAGCCCCGGCUAACUACGUGCCAGCAGCCGCGGUAAUACGUAGGGGGCCAGCGUUGUUCGGAAUUACUGGGUGUAAAGGGUUCGU